This is a long non-coding RNA of Silurus meridionalis, 948 nucleotides long. RefSeq lists it as uncharacterized. Lineage: Eukaryota; Metazoa; Chordata; Actinopteri; Siluriformes; Siluridae. The transcript has 2 exons. The record is from RefSeq and is a predicted model, not a curated record.
ACCUGCAGCUCUACACCACACCUCCAUCACUCACACACAGUGUCAUCUGCCUCAGCACCUCAUUCUCCAAAAGAUCACAAGUCACUUCAGGUGAACACUUACUUACCUGUGAUCUGUCCGAGCUGAUUAUCCACCUCCUUUUAGAUGGUUUAAACAUCUGGAUCAAUAGUCAAAGGAACAUAAAACAGCUGGAUUGACAGUUACAGGUAGACUAAAUGUCUGGAUUAACAAGUAAAGAAACGCUAAACAGCUAAAUUAAAAGAUACACAUACAAGAAACAGCUGGAUCAACAGUUACAAGUAUGUGAAACAGCUGGAUUGACAGUCAUGGGUAAGCUAAACAGCUGGAUCAACAGUUAUAGGUAAGCUAAACAGCUGAAUCGACAGUUAUAGGUAAGCUAAACAGCUGGAUUGACAGUUAUAGGUAUGCUAACAGCUGGAUCGACAGUUAUAGGUACAUGAAACAGCUGACUAGAUUGUUACAGAUCCAUUAAACAGCUGGAUUAACAAUUAAAGUAAUUGAAAAACACCUGGAUCAACAGUUACAGGUAUGCAAAAUAGCUGGGUGGACAGUAAGGCAUGCUAAACAGCUGGAUUGACAGUUACAGGUACAUGACCGCUGGAUUGAUAUUUGCAGUUGCAUUGGAUAGAUGGUUACAGGUUCAUAAAACAGCUGGAUUGACAGUUACAGGAAUGCAAAUCAACAGGUAAAAACAUUAAGGUUGUUAACGAUGAUUAGACAGGUAGCACAUGGCGUAUAGUGAACUAGCUCCUGCACAGUAUUAGCAUCCUGAAGGCCUGGUCUCCAGAUUUGAGCGUGUGCACUAUGGGGCAGUAAAUAAACAGAAUAAGAGGUAUAGUGAAGAAGACCUGGUUUUCUGAAGCGCAGAGCAGUUCUUCAUUUCAUCAACAAUUACAUCAUUGGUUAAAAACUAUUAAAUCAUAAACA